Molecule: ribosomal RNA, 274 nt
Filed under: uncultured bacterium
Lineage: Bacteria
Description: partial 16S ribosomal RNA
Rfam family: Bacterial small subunit ribosomal RNA
Source: RNAcentral
AUACGGAGGGGGCUAGCGUUGUUCGGAAUUACUGGGCGCAAAGCGCGCGUAGGCGGCUUAUCAAGUUAGGCGUGAAAGGCCUGGGCUCAACCCGGGAACUGCGCUUAAUACUGGUAGACUUGAGUCCGGGAGAGGGUGGCGGAAUUCCCAGUGUAGAGGUGAAAUUCGUAGAUAUUGGGAAGAACACCAGUGGCGAAGGCGGCCACCUGGCCCGGUACUGACGCUGAGGUGCGAAAGCGUGGGGAGCAAACAGGAUUAGAAACCCCGGUAGUCC